RNAcentral lists this transfer RNA (71 nucleotides) under Fusarium oxysporum f. sp. vasinfectum 25433. RNAcentral's name for it is "tRNA-Cys (ACA) (tRNA-Cys-ACA-1-1)". It matches the Rfam family "tRNA". From Rfam's summary of the family: Transfer RNA (tRNA) molecules are approximately 80 nucleotides in length. Their secondary structure includes four short double-helical elements and three loops (D, anti-codon, and T loops). Lineage: Eukaryota; Fungi; Ascomycota; Sordariomycetes; Hypocreales; Nectriaceae. The record is from RNAcentral.
UGCCGGGUGGUGUAGUGGUAACAUACCUACCUACAUGGUAGGGGUUGGGGGUUCGAUUCCUCCCCUGGCAA